UCGAGUGCGCCUGUCCCUGUGGUGGGAGCAGUGGCGCCGAGCGUGCCCACGGGCCGCCGCUUGGGUUUCUCUCGUGUUCAGGGUAGUAUGGACGUGGACAAUGGCAGUGGCCCCUGGCUGGCCCAAGAGCCGGGUCCAGAUACGCGCGCCUGAUUCCAGGCGUCAUAACCAACCCGGGGCCGCGAGGCUGGGAUCAGGCACCCCGGAGCCGCUUGCCCGUGGCCGGGCUGCUCUCCCCCUCUAAGCCUAAGCACCGCCAGUCGCGGCGCUGCGCUUUCCGCCGACCUCCCAGAGCGUCCCGCCGUCGCCGGCGGCCAGCCUCGCGCAGGACCAGUGUGGCGCCGCCCUGCUGUUGCUGGGGGGCGCCCGAGGCCUCCAUUCCUUGCCCAGGCUUCCGGCUCUCGGGGCGGCCUCCCUUCCGCCCACGCUCCAGGGCUUCCCCGGCUCCCGAGCUCCGAGCUUCCACCACAUCGGCCGGCUCAGGACAGAACCCAGAGUUGAUCUCUGCAGCAUGCCAUCACUGCUGGGGAUGAGGAAACGGUGAUUUCAGGACUGUUUUUUCUGUCUCUUCAGUGCCUCUUUCAGUGAUCUGAGGUUAAAACCAGAGGGACAAUCAGUGGAGCCUUCUUUCUGCCGUCUUGCUUUACUCUCACGCCCAAGAAUCAGAAUUCAGAACUUUUAAUAAGAAAAGCUUUCAGAACUCAGGAAGGACAAGGAAGACAUUCUGGUUCUCCAUGCUUAACAUUGGACUGUUUCUUCAACUGAGACUAUGGAGGAUUCAUCAACAGACCAGGAAGCAACAGCCUGGGCUCCAGAAUUGACCAGUAGUCCGUGCACAGACGAGGAGAGGUCCCAUGAAACUUCGGCGCAGUCUGGGAACCGAGCUCUUUUUGUAACAAGUUGUUUGUCAGGAGGCCCGGUCAUGAAAGCCCUUCCUGACUGGGCUCAAGGAAUACAAAAAGGACAACUUGUUUUUGCCAUUGUCUGUUGUUUUUCAAUAACUAGUUCUCCGAAACAGCACUGGAUGAAUGCCUCAAGGGGCUCACACAACUCGUUCCAGGACUUAGUGACCAUUGUUUCUGUCCCUGUUCAAUAGAGUUCAAAUUUAAUAUUUAAAUUUUGCUCCACAAUGUGCCAUAUUAUCUGUAUCCAACCUGUCAUUGGGCAUUUAGGUUGAUUCCAUGUCUUUACUAUUGUGAAUAAUGCUGCAAUAAACAUUUACGUGCUUGUGUCUUU
RNAcentral lists this long non-coding RNA (1236 nucleotides) under Homo sapiens (human). RNAcentral's name for it is "HSALNT0312637". Lineage: Eukaryota; Metazoa; Chordata; Mammalia; Primates; Hominidae. The record is from RNAcentral.